GAGUUUGAUCCUGGCUCAGAACGUACGCUGGCGGCACGCCUAACACAUGCAAGUCGAACGAAGUAGCAAUACUUAGUGGCAGACGGGUGAGUAACAUGUAGGUAUCUGCCCUUUGGCCUGGAAUAACACGAGGAAACUUGUGCUAAUACCGGAUAAGUCUUUACGGAGAAAGCUUUAUGCACCAUUGGAUGAGCCUGCACUUGAUUAGUUUGUUGGUGGGGUAAUGGCCUACCAAGACUGUGAUCAAUAGCUGAUUUGAGAGGAUGAUCAGCCACAUUGGGCCUGAGACACGGCCCAAACUCCUACGGGAGGCAGCAGUGGGGAAUCUUGCACAAUGGAGGAAACUCUGAUGCAGCGAUGCCGCGUGAGUGAAGAAGGCCCUUGGGUUGUAAAGCUCUUUCGUCGGGGAAGAAAAUGACUGUACCCGAAUAAGAAGGUCCGGCUAACUUCGUGCCAGCAGCCGCGGUAAUACGAAGGGACCUAGCGUAGUUCGGAAUUACUGGGCUUAAAGAGUUCGUAGGUGGUUGAAAAAGUUAGUGGUGAAAUCCCAGAGCUUAACUCAGGAACUGCCAUUAAAACUUUUCAGCUAGAGUAUGAUAGAGGAAAGCAGAAUUUCUAGUGUAGAGGUGAAAUUCGUAGAUAUUAGAAAGAAUACCAAUUGCGAAGGCAGCUUUCUGGAUCAUUACUGUCACUGAGGAACGAAAGCAUGGGUAGCGAAGAGGAUUAGAUACCCUCGUAGUCCAUGCCGUAAACGAUGUGUGUUAGACGUUGGAAAUUUAUUUUCAGUGUCGCAGCGAAAGCGAUAAACACACCGCCUGGGGAGUACGACCGCAAGGUUAAAACUCAAAUGAAUUGACGGGGACCCGCACAAGUAGUGGAGCAUGUGGUUUAAUUCGAAGAUACGCGCAGAACCUUACCAACACUUGACAUGUUCGUCGCGACUCUAAGAGAUUAGAGUUUUUGGUUCGGCCGGACGAAACACAGGUGCUGCAUGGCUGUCGUCAGCUCGUGUCGUGAGAUGUUGGGUUAAGUCCCGCAACGAGCGCAACCCUCACUUUUAGUUGCCAUCAUUAAGUUGGGCACUCUGAAAGAACUGCCAGUGAUAAGCUGGAGGAAGGUGGGGAUGACGUCAAGUCCUCAUGGCCCUUACGUGUUGGGCUACACACGUGCUACAAUGGUAUCUACAACAGGAAGCAAAACGGCAACGUUAAGCAAAUCCCGAAAAGAUACCUCAGUUCGGAUUGCACUCUGCAACUCGAGUGCAUGAAGCUGGAAUUACUAGUAAUCGUGGAUCAGCGUGCCACGGUGAAUGCGUUCCCGGGUCUUGUACACACCGCCCGUCACACCAUGGGAGUUGGUUCUACCUUAAGGCAAGGUUUUAAACCCUUGACCACGGUAUAGUCAGCGACUGGGGUGAAGUCGUAACAAGGUAACC
This 1435-nucleotide ribosomal RNA is filed under the name uncultured marine bacterium. Its description in RNAcentral is "bacterial SSU rRNA". It matches the Rfam family "Bacterial small subunit ribosomal RNA". The record is from RNAcentral.